Non-coding RNA from Hordeum vulgare subsp. vulgare (domesticated barley), 136 nucleotides. The record is from Rfam. Lineage: Eukaryota; Viridiplantae; Streptophyta; Magnoliopsida; Poales; Poaceae.
UAAAUACUCCCUCCGUCCCAAAAAAUUUGUCAUAAGUUUGUCUAGAUAUGAAUGUAUCUAGUCAUAUUUUAGUAUUUAUAUACAUCCAUUUCUAAACAAACCUAAGACAAUAAUUUUAAGACGGAGGAAGUAUUAG